AAGAAAGAAUUGCAAGAACUGCUAACUCUCGCCCCCAUACUUAAAAAUAUGGCUUUCUUA
Molecule: transfer RNA, 60 nt
Filed under: Dasypus pilosus (hairy long-nosed armadillo)
Lineage: Eukaryota; Metazoa; Chordata; Mammalia; Cingulata; Dasypodidae
Description: tRNA-Ser
Source: RNAcentral